Molecule: long non-coding RNA, 2362 nt
Organism: Vicia villosa (hairy vetch)
Lineage: Eukaryota; Viridiplantae; Streptophyta; Magnoliopsida; Fabales; Fabaceae
Exons: 4
Source: RefSeq, a predicted model, not a curated record
UUGAAUUGCAUGCUUUUCAUUGAGUGGUUUGAUUUGUCUAAGAUUCUGAUUUUUUUUCUUUUGGAUUUAUUUUAUAUCACGAUAGGACCAGAAGGCGCAUGAGUCGAUCUUGAAAGCAUUAAACCUGCCGGGUAUUGCUGCAGAACCCAAUUUGAAGGAGUGGACUGUUUGGACAAAGAUUUAUGACAAAUGUCAUGAAACUGUUAAAAUUGCUAUGGUGGGAAAAUACACUGGCCUUUCAGAUGCAUAUCUUUCUGUUCUGAAGGUAAUUUUCUCCUAAACUAGUGGUCCAUCAUAAUAUAAUUUGCAUUCACUUUAUGCAUUCUUCUGCAACUUUCAUCUCUUGUAUGAAAUUUAUUAAAAAGUGGUGCAUUGAACUUUCUGGUCCACAACAUUAUAAAACUGAAUUCCAAUAUACCAUAAGCUAUUUACGUUUCUGCAUUUAUCUUCGUUUCUACAUCUCUUGUUUGAUCAUUUAUCUUCGUUUUCUGCAUUUACGUUUCCUCAUCUUUGUUCAUUUAUCUUGGUUAACUGAAUAAGGCCAUUAUUAUAGUUUUUGUGCAACAUUGUUUUUGCUUUUGUUCUUAAUUCAAUUGUUAUGUUCUCAGGAUCCUAUCAAUAAUGAUGUUUUGGCGGUCCAAACUAUGCGCAACCAUAUUAUGUCAUGUCAGCUUUUUGAAUCGUGGUAGUCACUCUUGGUCACUCGGAUUGCUAAGAUGUAGAUAGUUAAAGUCCACAACGUUUUCAUCGCCACCGCUUCGGAUCAGCACCUCUGCAAUUUCUGGCCCCAUAUUCUGGGUGUGCCAUGGAGGAUUAUUUCCGCGAAAAUGGAAUGCACACAUUAAUAAUCUAUGAUGAUCUUAGUAAACAGGCCGUGGCAUAUCGACAAAUGUCUUUAUUGUUACGCUAACCACCUGGCCGUGAGGCAUUCCCAGACGAUGUUUUCUAUUUACAUUCCCGUCUCUUAGAAAAAGCUGAAAAAACGGUCGGACCAAACAGACGCAGGUAAAAUCACAAGAAAAACAACUAUAACAAAAAUAUUCUGACUUUUUCAUGGAGUGGGCUUCAUCUGAUAGAGAUUCUCCAAACGACUCUCCCAUCUUCGAAUCAUCAUUAAAAAUGAUGAUUCCCGAUUCAAAACCCCACUAAUAGAGGGAAAGGAAUGCGAUUCAGACUGUAUUCUAAUUUUCGAAGACGAAGAAACACUACUCUUCGAGUCACUCUCGACCAUAAUAGGGUUACUACUCAUUGUAAUGAAAACGCGGUAGAUAUUGAAAUAAAAGCUAAGGAGAAGAGAAGGUACCUUGAAUUAUGAAAGCGAAAGCGCUGAAACAAAAAGGGAGCUGAAAAUUCGAAGCUUUAAAUGUUUUAAAUUAUUAACGUGCAACGACGAUUAUUUUGAAAAGCAAGUACUCUUAGGUAGGAGGGGAAAAACUUAAAGAGACAAGGGAAACUUAGUCUACGAGAGGGCUGAAAAGUUUCUCGACAAUCUCUCUCCAUCUUUAUAUAAGCAAAGACAAUCGAACAGAUCAGAUUGAAAGCAAGAAAUACGGGCAAAUCGACGGUCAAAUUUCAUAUGGGGAAGACAAUCACACUAAGUACACAAAAAGUUGCGUCAUUUCAUCUCAUACCUUCUCAAGUCACACGUCAAAGACAAACGGCGAAACAUUUCAAUGAUUGGAUUGAAUUUAAUGCACGCGUCUGCAUCACGCUUUGGCAAAACCAAAGUGAUGCAUGCCAGCCGACGCCUGGAUGACCUUCCUUUGAGAUCGGCCACUACUAUUGAAAGACUCCCCAGACAUCAAACGUGCCCGACGAGUCUUGGGGACAACUAUUUCGUGCCAGUCAAAGACUCGGGACCCGCUUCUCCACGCCGGCUAAGGUGUAUUAUCUAGCCUACUCCGCCAGGCCCAAGGUAUAAACACCUUCGUACAAGUUUCUCAAGUAUACAAUCUCUAGUUUUCACUUUCACUACCAACUAUCUUGAACCCUAAACUGAUUUGGGCAUUGAAGUGCUAACCAUGUAGGUAUCCCUCCUUAGGUCCACCUCAUCGGAGGUAGCAAACACCGGUUAACAACAUCGCUCCAAGCUUGAUAUCUCUGGAUCAAGAAACACCGUGAUCGCAAUCUUCAAUUCACGGUUUCACAUCAACAUAGUGCAUUGGAAGCUCCGCUCCAGAACAAUUUCCGCAAUCAUCACCAUUUUUAGUUCCACAACAGAACAAAUUGUAAUUUGAACAACAAGAAAUGGAGCUAAUUAACUAACCAGCUGAAAUGAACAUGUAGCUAACUUUUAACUAUCUUUUCUCUAACCGUUUCAUCAUUGUUUGAUAAAGAUUACAAUUAUUUUAAUCGUAUAUGA